ACUCAAGAAACGGAUCUUAGUCCAACCUAAAACUUAUUCUUUUAGUCCAUCUAAACAGCCCUAUGAAUUUUAGAGUAAUUCAAAUAAGGUACAGCCUAUUUGAAACAGGAUACAACCUAGACUUGUGGAUAAGAUUGGCCUUACAUACAACCAAGUGGGCCUAAAAGCAGCCAUCUUUAAAAUAGCGUCAAAGCUUAAUUGUAAAUAUGCCUAAUUUCAUAAUGAUGAUCUUAAUCCCUUCCCAAUAUUGAGUAAUUCUAUAUCUUUAUAGAAAAUUUUAUGUUAAAACUAGUAACAAGAAGAAGAUACUUCUCUUCAAUGUAAGUGUAAAUCAGAAAGGACGAACCACUGAUAAUUAUCGUCACUGAAGCAAAAAUAGAAACUCACCUAGAAAAAUCUAUUUUUACCAACGUUAACCUAACACAAGAACAUUAAAAGAAAGAUUAAAAGAAAAAGAAGGAACUCGGCAAACAUUAACCUCGCCUGUUUACCAAAAACAUCGCCUCUUGAUUUUCUAUAAGAGGUCCAGCCUGCCCAGUGACCAUGUUCAACGGCCGCGGUAUCCUAACCGUGCGAAGGUAGCGUAAUCACUUGUUCUUUAAAUGUGGACUAGUAUGAAUGGCAUCACGAAGGUUAUACUGUCUCCUUUUUCUAAUCAGUGAAACUAAUCUCCCCGUGAAGAAGCGGGGAUAGAAUUAUAAGACGAGAAGACCCUAUGGAGCUUUAAACAACACAGCAUUUACCAAAGAAUUUUUAAUGUUUCUGUAACACUAACUUUUUCAAGUAAAAUGACUGCAAGUUUUUGGUUGGGGUGACCACGGAGUAUAUCACAACCUCCAUGUUGAAAGAAUUCUUUCUAAGCCAAGAAUAACCAAUCUAAGCAUUAACAAAUUAACAUCUAUUGACCCAAUAAAUUUGAUCAACGAACCAAGUUACCCUAGGGAUAACAGCGCAAUCCACUUCAAGAGCCCCUAUCGACAAGUGGGUUUACGACCUCGAUGUUGGAUCAGGGUAUCCCAGUGGUGCAGCCGCUACUAAAGGUUCGUUUGUUCAACGAUUAAAACCCUACGUGAUCUGAGU
RNAcentral lists this ribosomal RNA (1080 nucleotides) under Rhinella pygmaea. RNAcentral describes it as "partial 16S ribosomal RNA". It matches the Rfam family "Bacterial large subunit ribosomal RNA", at positions 894 to 2610 of the family's 2925-position model. Lineage: Eukaryota; Metazoa; Chordata; Amphibia; Anura; Bufonidae. The record is from RNAcentral.